This 589-nucleotide long non-coding RNA is filed under the name Brassica rapa (field mustard). RNAcentral describes it as "long non-coding RNA (BRAP_LNC001363)". Lineage: Eukaryota; Viridiplantae; Streptophyta; Magnoliopsida; Brassicales; Brassicaceae. The record is from RNAcentral.
UGCGGGUGAAAAAUCUAGUACUGAUUUUAAAACAUUAUUAAACCACCCUAAUUAAAUUAACAUGCUUAAUCAAAGCUUAUUCGACUACACACCAAAUAAAACGAUUUUAACAACGCUCUUUCAUUGCUGGUUUUUUUUUUUUUUUAAUUUAUGGAGGAUUUGAAAAAUACUCACCCAAAAUUUAGGAAAAUCGCUCAAUCCAUGGCUGAUUUCCUCUUAAUCUUAGAAGGUAAGUUUUACAUUCUAAUUCGUCUGAGUUUUCUAAUUUCUCUUCACACAAUAUGAAGAACAUUUAUUUUUUGCUUGAUUAAUUGGAUGAUACUUGAUAUUGUCUGACUGUUGCUUGAUUUCAGAUUAAUGGGAGAUUGCUUAGGACUAGAGCCCUCGUCCGGUAAGCGUUUCCGGCUACAUCUCAUCGACUUCUGGACAAGAUGAUUUCAGGCUUCGAUUUGAUUUAUAUACAAAAAAGAUUUGGGGGAAUGCCUUGAAAUCUGCAAAGAAUUUUAAUGGGUUUGAUGAUAAGACCAAGUUGUAAUAUGAUCUCGAGCGUUUAGCUAUGGAGAAUGGAAUUACUGUUAGAUGGGAUUUA